GUCGGGAUAGCUCAGUUGGUAGAGCAGAGGACUGAAAAUCCUCGUGUAC
This 49-nucleotide transfer RNA is filed under the name Epipremnum falcifolium. RNAcentral's name for it is "partial tRNA-Phe". It matches the Rfam family "tRNA", at positions 1 to 48 of the family's 71-position model. Rfam says of the family: Transfer RNA (tRNA) molecules are approximately 80 nucleotides in length. Their secondary structure includes four short double-helical elements and three loops (D, anti-codon, and T loops). Further hydrogen bonds mediate the characteristic L-shaped molecular structure. tRNAs have two regions of fundamental functional importance: the anti-codon, which is responsible for specific mRNA codon recognition, and the 3' end, to which the tRNAs corresponding amino acid is attached (by aminoacyl-tRNA synthetases). tRNAs cope with the degeneracy of the genetic code in two manners: having more than one tRNA (with a specific anti-codon) for a particular amino acid; and 'wobble' base-pairing, i.e. permitting non-standard base-pairing at the 3rd anti-codon position. The record is from RNAcentral. Lineage: Eukaryota; Viridiplantae; Streptophyta; Magnoliopsida; Alismatales; Araceae. RNAcentral also lists the same sequence under 1 other name.